Molecule: long non-coding RNA, 106 nt
Organism: Oreochromis niloticus (Nile tilapia)
Lineage: Eukaryota; Metazoa; Chordata; Actinopteri; Cichliformes; Cichlidae
Exons: 2
Source: RefSeq, a predicted model, not a curated record
GAGUGACACUGCAAGAUGUGUUUUCAUUAACCCCUGCAAGUUAAUGCGGCCAAUGAGUUCUCACGGCAUCGUUGGUGGCACCUGGGUGCAAUAAAUGCCAGUAAAA